UAACGAUGCAAAAUCAAUAAUACAAUUCUAAUGAUAAAAAUAGCAAUAUAUAAUGGGGAUUAUGUAUAUGAGAUUCUUACCUCAAUUAGUGAUAAACUGGACUCAUUAGAUUAUGAUUUAGGUAUCCAAACUAUACUCCAUAUCCUCUCGUCCGAUGGAUUGCUCUCCUAUAUAUUUAAAUUAAUAUUAUAAAAUAAAUUAAAUAAUUCAAUUUAAUUUUUUAGAAUCCUCUAUCGAGGUUUAUCAGGGUCCACACCCCC
This 260-nucleotide long non-coding RNA is filed under the name Elaeis guineensis (African oil palm). Its description in RNAcentral is "long non-coding RNA (EGUI_LNC019132)". The record is from RNAcentral. Lineage: Eukaryota; Viridiplantae; Streptophyta; Magnoliopsida; Arecales; Arecaceae.